CCAAUUUUUGGUCAGGUAUGUCUUCAUUUAAAAGAUUAUAAUUUCUUCAAAAACAUGUGUGCUUUAAAAAGGAACAAUGGUGAAGUUGAAUAUUUGUUAUGUAGGAUGGGAGUCUUUGAUGUGUUCUGUGAAGAACAUCAUUGCAAAUGGUAGUAAAGAGGUUUCCCUUGCUGCAGUAGGGUGUUUGCAAAUGGGGCUAACAUGAAACAACAGUUUCAACUAAUAAAUUGAUUUGCACCAUAAUUUCUUUUUAACAAAACAUGUUUAUAAGUUAUAUAGCAAUCUGUUCACAACAGAAACCAUUUCAUUUUCAUAAAAAGCCUGCUCCACUUAGCAACCUCACUGUUUCAUUAGGAAUGAUAACAUUAGGAUUCCUAACAGUAACAGGUGGAUAUGUUUUGCUAUGAACUGAUUUGUAAGAUUCAUUGACCUGAAGACUAAGGGCCCUCAUUGUUGGAAGUAUUGGAGAGUUUUUAUCAGCUGCUUUGCUGCCUCCAGAGCCAUUAGCUGUCCAAAAUGUUGUGGAUUUUUCAAAGAUGAUUGGAGCAUUAGAUGUAAAUGAAAAUCUUACACAUCUUGUGUCAGGGAUCAUUUUCUUUUGCCUCAAGAGAACAAAGACCAAGCUAGUACAACAAAAUCAAUAUUUUCUGCAAAGGAUUACAAUGAUCAUAUGGCACUUGUGUGUGAAUAUGAAGGAUGGAAAGAAGCUGAAAGAGAAGGAUAUGCUUAUAAAUAUUGCUGGAGGAAUUUCCUUUAUGCUCAAACACU
Molecule: non-coding RNA, 768 nt
Organism: Lactuca sativa (garden lettuce)
Lineage: Eukaryota; Viridiplantae; Streptophyta; Magnoliopsida; Asterales; Asteraceae
Source: RefSeq, a predicted model, not a curated record